UACGAAGGGGGCUAGCGUUGCUCGGAAUCACUGGGCGUAAAGGGUGCGUAGGCGGGUCUUUAAGUCAGGGGUGAAAUCCUGGAGCUCAACUCCAGAACUGCCUUUGAUACUGAGGAUCUUGAGUUCGGGAGAGGUGAGUGGAACUGCGAGUGUAGAGGUGAAAUUCGUAGAUAUUCGCAAGAACACCAGUGGUGAAGGCGGCUCACUGGCCCGAUACUGACGCUGAGGUGCGAAAGCGUGGGGAGCAAACAGG
This 253-nucleotide ribosomal RNA is filed under the name uncultured bacterium. RNAcentral's name for it is "partial 16S ribosomal RNA". It matches the Rfam family "Bacterial small subunit ribosomal RNA", at positions 524 to 776 of the family's 1533-position model. The record is from RNAcentral.